CCUACGGGCGGCAGCAGUGGGGAAUAUUGGACAAUGGGCGAAAGCCUGAUCCAGCCAUGCCGCGUGUGUGAAGAAGGCCUUCGGGUUGUAAAGCACUUUCAGUGGGGAAGAAAGCCUUGGGGCUAAUACCCUCGAGGAAGGACAUCACCCACAGAAGAAGCACCGGCUAACUCCGUGCCAGCAGCCGCGGUAAUACGGAGGGUGCGAGCGUUAAUCGGAAUUACUGGGCGUAAAGCGCGCGUAGGCGGUCUGAUAAGCCGGUUGUGAAAGCCCCGGGCGCAACCUGGGAACGGCAUCCGGAACUGUCAGGCUAGAGUGCAGGAGAGGAAGGUAGAAUUCCCGGUGUAGCGGUGAAAUGCGUAGAGAUCGGGAGGAAUACCAGUGGCGAAGGCGGCCUUCUGGACUGACACUGACGCUGAGGUGCGAAAGCGUGGGUAGCAAACAGGAUUAGAUACCCCGGUAGUC
RNAcentral lists this ribosomal RNA (465 nucleotides) under Vreelandella stevensii. RNAcentral's name for it is "partial 16S ribosomal RNA". It matches the Rfam family "Bacterial small subunit ribosomal RNA", at positions 338 to 795 of the family's 1533-position model. The record is from RNAcentral. Lineage: Bacteria; Pseudomonadati; Pseudomonadota; Gammaproteobacteria; Oceanospirillales; Halomonadaceae.